RNAcentral lists this transfer RNA (58 nucleotides) under Navicula sp. RCC3092. It matches the Rfam family "tRNA", at positions 8 to 60 of the family's 71-position model. Rfam says of the family: Transfer RNA (tRNA) molecules are approximately 80 nucleotides in length. Their secondary structure includes four short double-helical elements and three loops (D, anti-codon, and T loops). The record is from RNAcentral. Lineage: Eukaryota; Bacillariophyta; Bacillariophyceae; Naviculales; Naviculaceae.
UUAUUAGCUCAGUGGCAGAGCGUCCGCUUUGCAUGCGGAAGGUCCGGGAUUUAAUCUC